This 273-nucleotide ribosomal RNA is filed under the name uncultured bacterium. RNAcentral describes it as "partial 16S ribosomal RNA". It matches the Rfam family "Bacterial small subunit ribosomal RNA", at positions 524 to 796 of the family's 1533-position model. The record is from RNAcentral.
UACGAAGGUCCCAAGCGUUGUUCGGAAUCACUGGGCGUAAAGGGAGCGUAGGCGGCGUGGUAAGUCAGAUGUGAAAUCCCGGGGCUCAACCCCGGAACUGCAUCCGAUACUGCCAUGCUAGAGGAUUGGAGAGGUAGCUGGAAUUCUUGGUGUAGCAGUGAAAUGCGUAGAGAUCAAGAGGAACACUCGUGGCGAAAGCGAGCUACUGGACAAUUCCUGACGCUGAGGCUCGAAGGCCAGGGUAGCGAAAGGGAUUAGAAACCCCCGUAGUCC